UGCAUUAACUACAAAUUGCAUUAAAUACAGAUUGCUUUAACUACAUUUAAAGUCAAUUCACUCCAUUUAACUACAAUUCAAUACAACAUGUAGUUUAUUGAACACUGUUGACAGCAUUUUAAAGACUGCCUUAAUGUACAAACUUGAACUACAUAUUAUAAAUGCAACUUUUACUUUUUUCAGCACAUCGAUGUUAUAAUGUAC
RNAcentral lists this long non-coding RNA (204 nucleotides) under Nicotiana benthamiana. RNAcentral's name for it is "long non-coding RNA (NBEN_LNC000140)". The record is from RNAcentral. Lineage: Eukaryota; Viridiplantae; Streptophyta; Magnoliopsida; Solanales; Solanaceae.